AUGAUUUCCCUAGUAACGGCGAGUGAAGAGGAAAGAGCUCAAAGUUGGAACCUGUUUGGCUUAGCUAAACCGGAUUGUAAACUGUAGAAACGUUUUCCUGAUACGCCAGACAAAUAAGUCCUUUGGAACAGGGCAUCAUAGAGGGUGAGAAUCCCGUCUUUGGUCUGAGCUGUUGUCUUUUGCGAUACGUUUUCAAAGAGUCAGGUUGUUUGGGAAUGCAGCCUAAAUUGGGUGGUAAAUCUCACCUAAAGCUAAAUAUUUGCGAGAGACCGAUAGCGAACAAGUACCGUGAGGGAAAGAUGAAAAGAACUUUGAAAAGAGAGUUAAACAGUAUGUGAAAUUGUUAAAAGGGAACCGUUUGGAGCCAGACUGGCUUGAUCGUAAUCAAUCUAGGUUUCGACCUGGAUGCACUUGCGGUCUAUGCCUGCCAACGACAGUUCUUUCUGAAGGAUAAAACUAARAGGAAUGUGGCCCCUCGGGGUGUUAUAGCCUUUUMGAUAAUACUUUGGAUGGGACUGAGGAACGCAGUGAAUGCUUAUGGCGAGAUUGCUAGGCGCUUUUGUUAAUAUAUGUCAGAAUUUCUGCUUCGGGUGGUGCUGAUGUCUAAAGAURAAACCCGCUUGGUUAAUUUUCUAUUCACUUAGGUUGUUGGCUUAAUGACUCUAAAUGAC
RNAcentral lists this ribosomal RNA (671 nucleotides) under Mucor inaequisporus. RNAcentral's name for it is "eukaryotic LSU rRNA". It matches the Rfam family "Eukaryotic large subunit ribosomal RNA", at positions 71 to 648 of the family's 3401-position model. Lineage: Eukaryota; Fungi; Mucoromycota; Mucoromycetes; Mucorales; Mucoraceae. The record is from RNAcentral.